This 577-nucleotide ribosomal RNA is filed under the name Pichia fermentans. RNAcentral describes it as "partial large subunit ribosomal RNA". It matches the Rfam family "Eukaryotic large subunit ribosomal RNA", at positions 50 to 655 of the family's 3401-position model. The record is from RNAcentral. Lineage: Eukaryota; Fungi; Ascomycota; Pichiomycetes; Pichiales; Pichiaceae.
CCGGAGGAAAAGAAACCAACAGGGAUUGCCCCAGCUAGCGGCGAGUGAAGCGGCAAAAGCUCAGAUUUGGAAUCGCUUCGGCGAGUUGUGAAUUGCAGGUUGGCGCCUCUGCGGCGGCGGCGGUCCAAGUCCCUUGGAACAGGGCGCCAUUGAGGGUGAGAGCCCCGUGGGACCGUUUGCCUAUGCUCUGAGGCCCUUCUGACGAGUCGAGUUGUUUGGGAAUGCAGCUCUAAGCGGGUGGUAAAUUCCAUCUAAGGCUAAAUACUGGCGAGAGACCGAUAGCGAACAAGUACUGUGAAGGAAAGAUGAAAAGCACUUUGAAAAGAGAGUGAAACAGCACGUGAAAUUGUUGAAAGGGAAGGGUAUUGCGCCCGACAUGGAGCGUGCGCACCGCUGCCCCUCGUGGGCGGCGCUCUGGGCGUGCUCUGGGCCAGCAUCGGUUUUUGCCGCGGGAGAAGGGCGGCGGGCAUGUAGCUCUUCGGAGUGUUAUAGCCUGCCGCCGGCGCCGCGAGCGGGGACCGAGGACUGCGACUUUUGUCUCGGUAUGCUGGCACAACGGCGCAACACCGCCCGUCUU